This 460-nucleotide ribosomal RNA is filed under the name uncultured bacterium. RNAcentral describes it as "partial 16S ribosomal RNA". It matches the Rfam family "Bacterial small subunit ribosomal RNA", at positions 338 to 795 of the family's 1533-position model. The record is from RNAcentral.
CCUACGGGAGGCAGCAGUGAGGAAUAUUGGUCAAUGGGCGGGAGCCUGAACCAGCCAAGUCGCGUGAGGGAAGACGGUCCUAUGGAUUGUAAACCUCUUUAGGCGGGGAGCAAUGCCGGGCACGCGUGCCCGGAGGGAGAGUACCCGCAGAAUAAGCAUCGGCUAACUCCGUGCCAGCAGCCGCGGUAAUACGGAGGAUGCGAGCGUUAUCCGGAUUUAUUGGGUUUAAAGGGUGCGUAGGCGGAUUUUUAAGUCAGCGGUAAAAUGUGCGGGCUCAACCCGGGCCGGCCGUUGAUACUGGGGAGCUUGAGUGGGCGAGAAGUAUGCGGAAUGCGUGGUGUAGCGGUGAAAUGCAUAGAUAUCACGCAGAACACAGAUUGCGAAGGCAGCAUACCGGCGCCCGACUGACGCUGAGGCACGAAAGCGUGGGGAUCGAACAGGAUUAGAUACCCCUGUAGUC